Molecule: long non-coding RNA, 312 nt
Organism: Notothenia coriiceps (black rockcod)
Lineage: Eukaryota; Metazoa; Chordata; Actinopteri; Perciformes; Nototheniidae
Exons: 3
Source: RefSeq, a predicted model, not a curated record
GAGAAAUCGAAAAGUAAACGUGAGAUGUCUGUCAGCGCCUCAAUAAUGCCGUGACUGACAUUUUCAUCUGAAGCGGGAGGUCAAACGGUUUCCUAAACUUCUCCCAUACAACGGACCUGACGAGCGUGACAAACUGAGUGAGGAGUUUCUGGACUACCAGUCCAUGGACAUUGCCAUGCCCGAAGACCCAGCCACGUUCGACAUUGAGAGCUUUUGGGGGAACAUGGCAUCAAUGAAGAAUAAGGUGACCAGUAUGAGCAGAUUAGGGAGGCUCUCUCGUAUUGCCAAGUUGGUGUUGGUACUUCCACAUUC